Molecule: ribosomal RNA, 468 nt
Filed under: uncultured bacterium
Lineage: Bacteria
Description: partial 16S ribosomal RNA
Rfam family: Bacterial small subunit ribosomal RNA
Source: RNAcentral
GACGAACGCUGGCGGCGUGCUUAACACAUUCAAGUCGAACGGAAAGGCCCUGCUUUUGUGGGGUGCUCGAGUGGCGAACGGGUGAGUAACACGUGAGUAACCUGCCCUUGACUUUGGGAUAACUUCAGGAAACUGGGGCUAAUACCGGAUAGGAGCUCCUGCUGCAUGGUGGGGGUUGGAAAGUUUCGGCGGUUGGGGAUGGACUCGCGGCUUAUCAGCUUGUUGGUGGGGUAGUGGCUUACCAAGGCUUUGACGGGUAGCCGGCCUGAGAGGGUGACCGGCCACAUUGGGACUGAGAUACGGCCCAGACUCCUACGGGAGGCAGCAGUGGGGAAUAUUGCACAAUGGGCGGAAGCCUGAUGCAGCAACGCAGCGUGCGGGAUGACGGCCUUCGGGUUGUAAACCGCUUUCGCCUGUGACGAAGCGUGAGUGACGGUAAUGGGUAAAGAAGCACCGGCUAACUACGUG